AAAAAUAAUUAUUAAAUGUCAGUGACAGCCAUUGUAAAUAAAUCUUAACUCCAUGACUUAUUUCACAAAAUGACUGUAAAAAUAUAUAUAUAGAUAUUAAGUAGGUUUAAACAAU
RNAcentral lists this small RNA (115 nucleotides) under Arabidopsis thaliana (thale cress). RNAcentral describes it as "ATSL074260". The record is from RNAcentral. Lineage: Eukaryota; Viridiplantae; Streptophyta; Magnoliopsida; Brassicales; Brassicaceae.